RNAcentral lists this ribosomal RNA (253 nucleotides) under uncultured bacterium. RNAcentral describes it as "partial 16S ribosomal RNA". It matches the Rfam family "Bacterial small subunit ribosomal RNA", at positions 524 to 776 of the family's 1533-position model. The record is from RNAcentral.
UACGGAGGGUGCAAGCGUUAUCCGGAUUUACUGGGUUUAAAGGGUGCGUAGGUGGGUUGGUAAGUCAGUGGUGAAAUACUUUCGCUUAACGAAGGAACUGCCAUUGAUACUACCAGUCUUGAAUACAGUGGAGGUGGGCGGAAUGCGUCAUGUAGCGGUGAAAUGCUUAGAUAUGACAUAGAAUACCAAUUGCGAAGGCAGCUGGCUACACGAAUAUUGACACUCAGGCACGAAAGCGUGGGGAUCAAACAGU